ACGAACGCUGGCGGCGUGCUUCACACAUGCAAGUCGAACGGAAAGGCCCUACUUUUGUGGGGUGCUCGAGUGGCGAACGGGUGAGUAACACGUGAGUAACCUGCCCUUGACUUUGGGAUAACUUCAGGAAACUGGGGCUAAUACCGGAUAGGAGCUCCUGCUGCAUGGUGGGGGUUGGAAAGUUUCGGCGGUUGGGGAUGGACUCGCGGCUUAUCAGCUUGUUGGUGGGGUAGUGGCUUACCAAGGCUUUGACGGGUAGCCGGCCUGAGAGGGUGACCGGCCACAUUGGGACUGAGAUACGGCCCAGACUCCUACGGGAGGCAGCAGUGGGGAAUAUUGCACAAUGGGCGGAAGCCUGAUGCAGCAACGCCGCGUGCGGGAUGACGGCCUUCGGGUUGUAAACCGCUUUCGCCUGUGACGAAGCGUGAGUGACGGUAAUGGGUAAAGAAGCACCGGCUAACUACGUG
RNAcentral lists this ribosomal RNA (467 nucleotides) under uncultured bacterium. RNAcentral describes it as "partial 16S ribosomal RNA". It matches the Rfam family "Bacterial small subunit ribosomal RNA", at positions 29 to 507 of the family's 1533-position model. The record is from RNAcentral.